CUAAUAUCCAUGCCCAUCUUCCUCUACUUUAUAUGUGGGAUGCCUACCACAGCACGGCUUGCCACGGGGUGCUGUGUCUGCACCCGGGAUCCAAGCCGGCAAACCCAGGGCCGCUGAAGCGGAAUGUGUGAACUUAACCGCUGCGCCACUGGCCUGGCCCCUACUUGGCCUUUUAAAUACUUCUAAUGUACUAGUGCUUUACAGUGGUAGCCCUGCAAGCAUAAGCAUUCCAUAGUUCCUGUGCCUAGGGCUGCUGCCCAACCCUGAGGACCCUCAGCGUGGUGAGGAGAAGGCCAAGAAGUGGGUCUUCAUUUCCUGAAACAUCCAGAUACUCACUCCCAUGAAGCUCUCAAGAUGAUAUCAAGGGGGCCGGCCCUGUGCCAAGUGGUUAAAGUUCCGGGCACUCCAACUCGGCAGCCCAGGUUUGCGGUUUGGAUCCUACUUCACUCAUGAGCCAUGCUGUGGAAGUGACCCACACACAAAGUGGAGGAAGAUUGGCACAGAUGUUAGCUCAGGGCUAAUCUUCCUCACACACACUCAAAUGAUAUCAAGAUGACAGGAGCCUGGUUAGUGCCACUGAGGUCCCUCUCCAUCAAGAGAGAGUCCUAAGAGGAUGGGCCUAAGCUCCUCUGGCGUGAAAGGCAGCCGAGCCCUCAGGGGGUGUUGUUGGCCUCUCUUACCGCUGGCUGUGCUGGGGAAGCUUCUCGCCACUUCCCAAGCCUGGCCUCUAGAUAGAGGCCAAGACUUCGACUCGUUAGACUGUGCUCUGUUCUUGGAGCAUUUUGCUCCAGGUAGGGGACGUUGUAAAUUUGAAGGACCAGCACUGGAGAGAAGAUCCAGAGCUGGAGGAAACGAGCCAUCACUGAAAUGUCAAACAGGAUGAAGUGUGGACUUCUAGAUCGUGGAGGAGUGGAGUGCAAGGAUGAUACCGUCCGUGGACUGAUAGCAGCUGUGUGGCCAUGUGCUUGGAGUUCUUACAUUAAACAGUACUUGCUUGAGUGUGCAGGGCCUCAGUGGAAUCAAUCUGUGUCACAGAAGGACUAAAGGACCAUGGUGGGCCCAAAAUAGGGGAAACAGGCUUCUUGCGUGUGGUGAACAUGAUUUCGGCCUCAGUGGCUAGACUUGUACCUCCUUGCUUGCAGCUCAGUGUGAAAAGGCUGAGGCACUAGUCAUUGCAGGCUGAGCACACUUAUGGAACCAGGACCCAGAUCAAGAAGGAAAACAUCUCCAGGACCCAGAAGCACCCUUCCUGGAGUCCCUCCCAGUCACUGGUCUCCUGCCGAGGGUGAGGACCAUCUUGACUUCGCUUUUCCUGUUUUUGUAACUCCUAUGAGUGUGAUUAUACAGCGUACACUCCUGAGUGUUUCUCUUCUUUUGCUCAAUGUUCUACCUGUAAGAUUUGUCCCUACUGUGUUUGUGGUUGUCGUUUGUUCAUUCUACAUUCUGGUGUGGUAAGGUGCCUCAUUGUUUAUUUAUUCAGUCUACACUCUGAGGGGAUUUGGGUGCUUGCAAUUUGGAGGUUUUACUGCUAUAAACUAUGAAUAUUCUAGCACGUUUCUUCGGGUCAACAUGUGUGAACAUUUCUGUUUGGUUUGUACCUAUAAGUGGGAGUUCGUGGCUUUAAAUAUUUUGGGCUAUUAAGUAAGAUUGCCUUUUAAGUGAGUCAGCUUUGACAUUUAACGAUAGCAUUUAAAAUACUCCAUAGCCUUCUUCCCAUUCUCGGUGUUCUUCCUAACCGGAAGGGCGCUGGUCAACAUCUACAAUCAGAAUAAGGCAGGAAUGAAGGAGCGGGGCUGAGACUGGUCACUCCAACAAAAAGUCACGAUCCCUCACUCAGUUCCUGGGUCCGAGCCGAUUAUCAGUCAGGAAGCCCUUGACUGAAGGGGUGGCCAGGUCCUCAGGAGC
Molecule: long non-coding RNA, 1905 nt
Organism: Equus caballus (horse)
Lineage: Eukaryota; Metazoa; Chordata; Mammalia; Perissodactyla; Equidae
Source: Ensembl